RNAcentral lists this ribosomal RNA (1252 nucleotides) under Micrococcus luteus. RNAcentral describes it as "bacterial SSU rRNA". It matches the Rfam family "Bacterial small subunit ribosomal RNA", at positions 109 to 1372 of the family's 1533-position model. Lineage: Bacteria; Bacillati; Actinomycetota; Actinomycetes; Micrococcales; Micrococcaceae. The record is from RNAcentral.
AGUAACACGUGAGUAACCUGCCCUUAACUCUGGGAUAAGCCUGGGAAACUGGGUCUAAUACCGGAUAGGAGCGCCGACCGCAUGGUGGGUGUUGGAAAGAUUUAUCGGUUUUGGAUGGACUCGCGGCCUAUCAGCUUGUUGGUGAGGUAAUGGCUCACCAAGGCGACGACGGGUAGCCGGCCUGAGAGGGUGACCGGCCACACUGGGACUGAGACACGGCCCAGACUCCUACGGGAGGCAGCAGUGGGGAAUAUUGCACAAUGGGCGCAAGCCUGAUGCAGCGACGCCGCGUGAGGGAUGACGGCCUUCGGGUUGUAAACCUCUUUCAGUAGGGAAGAAGCGAAAGUGACGGUACCUGCAGAAGAAGCACCGGCUAACUACGUGCCAGCAGCCGCGGUAAUACGUAGGGUGCGAGCGUUAUCCGGAAUUAUUGGGCGUAAAGAGCUCGUAGGCGGUUUGUCGCGUCUGUCGUGAAAGUCCGGGGCUUAACCCCGGAUCUGCGGUGGGUACGGGCAGACUAGAGUGCAGUAGGGGAGACUGGAAUUCCUGGUGUAGCGGUGGAAUGCGCAGAUAUCAGGAGGAACACCGAUGGCGAAGGCAGGUCUCUGGGCUGUAACUGACGCUGAGGAGCGAAAGCAUGGGGAGCGAACAGGAUUAGAUACCCUGGUAGUCCAUGCCGUAAACGUUGGGCACUAGGUGUGGGGACCAUUCCACGGUUUCCGCGCCGCAGCUAACGCAUUAAGUGCCCCGCCUGGGGAGUACGGCCGCAAGGCUAAAACUCAAAGGAAUUGACGGGGGCCCGCACAAGCGGCGGAGCAUGCGGAUUAAUUCGAUGCAACGCGAAGAACCUUACCAAGGCUUGACAUGUUCUCGAUCGCCGUAGAGAUACGGUUUCCCCUUUGGGGCGGGUUCACAGGUGGUGCAUGGUUGUCGUCAGCUCGUGUCGUGAGAUGUUGGGUUAAGUCCCGCAACGAGCGCAACCCUCGUUCCAUGUUGCCAGCACGUAAUGGUGGGGACUCAUGGGAGACUGCCGGGGUCAACUCGGAGGAAGGUGAGGACGACGUCAAAUCAUCAUGCCCCUUAUGUCUUGGGCUUCACGCAUGCUACAAUGGCCGGUACAAUGGGUUGCGAUACUGUGAGGUGGAGCUAAUCCCAAAAAGCCGGUCUCAGUUCGGAUUGGGGUCUGCAACUCGACCCCAUGAAGUCGGAGUCGCUAGUAAUCGCAGAUCAGCAACGCUGCGGUGAAUACGUU